RNAcentral lists this ribosomal RNA (792 nucleotides) under uncultured bacterium. RNAcentral's name for it is "bacterial SSU rRNA". It matches the Rfam family "Bacterial small subunit ribosomal RNA", at positions 8 to 798 of the family's 1533-position model. The record is from RNAcentral.
AGAGUUUGAUCAUGGCUCAGGACGAACGCUGGCGGCGUGCUUAACACAUGCAAGUCGAACGGAAAGGCCCUUCGGGGUACUCGAGUGGCGAACGGGUGAGUAACACGUGGGUGAUCUGCCCUGCACUUUGGGAUAAGCCUGGGAAACUGGGUCUAAUACCGAAUAGGACCGCGCGCUUCAUGGUGUGUGGUGGAAAGCUUUUGCGGUGUGGGAUGGGCCCGCGGCCUAUCAGCUUGUUGGUGGGUAAUGGCCUACCAAGGCGACGACGGGUAGCCGGCCUGAGAGGGUGACCGGCCACACUGGGACUGAGAUACGGCCCAGACUCCUACGGGAGGCAGCAGUGGGGAAUUUUGGACAAUGGGCGCAAGCCUGAUCCAGCCAUGCCGCGUGCGGGAAGAAGGCCUUCGGGUUGUAAACCGCUUUUGUCAGGGAAGAAAUCCUUUGGGUUAAUACCCCGGGGGGAUGACGGUACCUGAAGAAUAAGCACCGGCUAACUACGUGCCAGCAGCCGCGGUAAUACGUAGGGUGCAAGCGUUAAUCGGAAUUACUGGGCGUAAAGCGUGCGCAGGCGGUUUUGUAAGACAGAGGUGAAAUCCCCGGGCUCAACCUGGGAACUGCCUUUGUGACUGCAAGGCUUGAGUGCGGCAGAGGGGGAUGGAAUUCCGCGUGUAGCAGUGAAAUGCGUAGAUAUGCGGAGGAACACCGAUGGCGAAGGCAAUCCCCUGGGCCUGCACUGACGCUCAUGCACGAAAGCGUGGGGAGCAAACAGGAUUAGAUACCCCGGUAGUCCAA